RNAcentral lists this ribosomal RNA (752 nucleotides) under Collemopsidium sp. s1411. RNAcentral describes it as "LSU rRNA". It matches the Rfam family "Eukaryotic large subunit ribosomal RNA", at positions 648 to 1404 of the family's 3401-position model. Lineage: Eukaryota; Fungi; Ascomycota; Collemopsidiomycetes; Collemopsidiales; Xanthopyreniaceae. The record is from RNAcentral. RNAcentral also lists the same sequence under 1 other name.
CCCGUCUUGAAACACGGACCAAGGAGUCUAACAUCCACGCGAGCGUUCGGGUGUAAAAACCCUCGCGCGCAAUGAAAGUGAACGGAGGUGGGAGCCCUCACGGGCGCACCAUCGACCGAUCCUGAUGUCUUCGGAUGGAUUUGAGUAAGAGCGUGGCUGUUGGGACCCGAAAGAUGGUGAACUUUGCAUGGAUAGGGUGAAGCCAGAGGAAACUCUGGUGGAGGCUCGCAGCGGUUCUGACGUGCAAAUCGAUCGUCAAAUCAGUGCAAAGGGGCGAAAGACUAAUCGAACCGUCUAGUAGCUGGUUCCUGCCGAAGUUUCCCUCAGGAUAGCAGUAACGAACUCAGUUUUAUGAGGUAGAGCGAAUGAUUAGAGGCCUUGGGGCUGAAACAGCCUUAACCUAUUCUCAAACUUCGAAUAUGUAAGAAGUCCUUGUUACUUAGUUGAACGUGGACACUCGAAUGCAACGUUACUAGUGGGCCAUUUUUGGUAAGCAGAACUGGCGAUGCGGGAUGAACCGAACGCGAGGUUAAGGUGCCGGAAUGCACGCUCAUCAGACACCACAAAAGGUGUUAGUUCAUCCAGACAGCAGGACGGUGGCCAUGGAAGUCGGAACCCGCUAAGGAGUGUGUAACAACUCACCUGCCGAAUGAACUAGCCCUGAAAAUGGAUGGCGCUCAAGCGUGCUACCCAUACCUCGCCGCCGGGCAGGAUCGAAGCCCCGGCGAGUAGGCAGGCGCGGCGGUCGGUGA